Non-coding RNA from Aedes albopictus (Asian tiger mosquito), 72 nucleotides. Lineage: Eukaryota; Metazoa; Arthropoda; Insecta; Diptera; Culicidae. The record is from Rfam.
AGCAGAGUGGCGCAGUGGAAGCGUGCUGGACCCAUAACCCAGAGGUCCAUAGAUCUAAACUACGCUCUGCCA